RNAcentral lists this ribosomal RNA (471 nucleotides) under Triticum aestivum (bread wheat). RNAcentral's name for it is "partial small subunit ribosomal RNA". Lineage: Eukaryota; Viridiplantae; Streptophyta; Magnoliopsida; Poales; Poaceae. The record is from RNAcentral.
AUGGACAUGCUAGAGAGCUUCGGCGACGCCACGGGCCUGAAGAUAAACAAUGCCAAAUCCAUGGCGACUCUGAUUUGCUGCAACGCCAUCGACCUCAACACGGUGCUGCAGUCUUUUGGGGGCCCGACCACGCAAUUCCCAAUCAGAUACUUAGGGCUCCCCCUCACGAUUGGCCGGCUUCGACUGGUUCAUCUUUAGUUCAUCCUAGAUCGAAUUAGGGCUAGGCUAGCUGGCUGGAAAGGAAAAAUGCUCUCCAUCGCCGGGCGCAGGGUACUCGGCAGAUGCGUCCUCACCGCCAUGCCAACGUUCGCGCUUACGGCGCUUCAAGUCCCCGCGAAACUGCUGAAAGAAAUCGACAAGUGUAGACGUCGCUUCCUCUGGGGUCGCGAUCAGGAACUCUCUGGUGGCAGCUGCAAAGUAAAUUGGGACGGGUCUGCUCCUCGAUCGAGCACGGAGGGCUUGGCAUCCUAG